GACGAACGCUGGCGGCGUGCUUAACACAUGCAAGUCGAACGGGAAGGCCCUGCUUUUGUGGGGUGCUCGAGUGGCGAACGGGUGAGUAACACGUGAGUAACCUGCCCUUGACUUUGGGAUAACUUCAGGAAACUGGGGCUAAUACCGGAUAGGAGCUCCUGCUGCAUGGUGGGGGUUGGAAAGUUUCGGCGGUUGGGGAUGGACUCGCGGCUUAUCAGCUUGUUGGUGGGGUAGUGGCUUACCAAGGCUUGGACGGGUAGCCGGCCUGAGAGGGUGACCGGCCACAUUGGGACUGAGAUACGGCCCAGACUCCUACGGGAGGCAGCAGUGGGGAAUAUUGCACAAUGGGCGGAAGCCUGAUGCAGCAACGCCGCGUGCGGGAUGACGGCCUUCGGGUUGUAAACCGCUUUCGCCUGUGACGAAGCGUGAGUGACGGUAAUGGGUAAAGAAGCACCGGCUAACUACGUG
RNAcentral lists this ribosomal RNA (468 nucleotides) under uncultured bacterium. Its description in RNAcentral is "partial 16S ribosomal RNA". It matches the Rfam family "Bacterial small subunit ribosomal RNA", at positions 28 to 507 of the family's 1533-position model. The record is from RNAcentral.